UGUGGCGAUGGAUGGAUCAUGUCCAGAUAUCAUGUUUUCCUCAUCGACUAUCUUUCCAAUUUAUUAUAUCUAACCCUUGCAUAUAUAUUACUUCCACCCACGAUUGCAUGAUCAUGUCAAGUUUCAGAAAUAAGAAAAAGGCUACUCGCCGGCCGGCACAAGUACCAGGAAGAACGAACAGUUUUGGCACGAGUUGAUCGCCACAACCACGGACUCGAGUCUGAAGUACCAUCAGAACCAUCAAGUGAUAUUUUUCCAGUUAAUUCUUAUUCGCAAAAUCUACUCAGUCAAAUAUUUUUUUUGGCUCAAGCUUUUAUUUACGCACACUUUUUUGCGCCGUAAUAUAACUGCAGAUCAGAACAAGCUUCGAUUACUUCGACAUCGCGCACACGCCUCGCUCGGCGGCUCGCCAUUGCCGUGGAUUAUCUUCUAUGGUUUUCAAUGAAUUUAUCUUCUAUGGUUAUAUAAAUGCUGACCCGAUGCACUUCCGGGUCAGUGGAUUCAUAUUUUAUGGUUAUCAGUGGAUUCAUAUUCUAUGGUUAUCAAUGGAUUUAUAUUAUAUAAUAUUGAACCGAUGCACCUCCGGUGGAUUCAUCUUUAAUACUUCAUCUUUAAUGAUGGAAUAUUCAAUGGUUUAAUCUUCAAACGGCUUCAUCUCCAAUGGUGUAAAUCUUCAGGGGAUUCAUAUUAGAUGAUCGUCAAUGGCUUUAUCCUAAAUGGCUUCAUCUUAUAUGGUUAUCGAGUGAGACAAUACAAAGCUGGCCUGAUGCGCCUCCUGGGAUCGACAACUUCAUCGAGCUUUUCUAUGGGAAGUCGUAAUUUUCGUCAUGAUCUAGGCGUGUGUGGUUAUGAUUUUCUAGAUGAAACAAAAAAACAGGUGCUAUUCAUCCAUUUAAUGGCCUUGUCUUGUAAAUUUAGUUAUGUCAUCGAAUUUUCUCCACUUGGUAUUAUUUUUGUACA
Lolium perenne is the source of this 960-nucleotide long non-coding RNA. RefSeq lists it as uncharacterized. Lineage: Eukaryota; Viridiplantae; Streptophyta; Magnoliopsida; Poales; Poaceae. The record is from RefSeq and is a predicted model, not a curated record.